This 508-nucleotide ribosomal RNA is filed under the name uncultured bacterium. RNAcentral describes it as "partial 16S ribosomal RNA". It matches the Rfam family "Bacterial small subunit ribosomal RNA", at positions 28 to 523 of the family's 1533-position model. The record is from RNAcentral.
GAUGAACGCUAGCUACAGGCUUAACACAUGCAAGUCGAGGGGAAACGAUAUUGGAAGCUUGCUUCCGAUAGGCGUCGACCGGCGCACGGGUGAGUAACGCGUAUCCAACCUGCCCACCACUUGGGGAUAACCUUGCGAAAGUAAGACUAAUACCCAAUGACGUCCAUAGAAGACAUCUGAAAUGGAUUAAAGAUUUAUCGGUGAUGGAUGGGGAUGCGUCUGAUUAGCUUGUUGGCGGGGUAACGGCCCACCAAGGCGACGAUCAGUAGGGGUUCUGAGAGGAAGGUCCCCCACAUUGGAACUGAGACACGGUCCAAACUCCUACGGGAGGCAGCAGUGAGGAAUAUUGGUCAAUGGGCGAGAGCCUGAACCAGCCAAGUAGCGUGCAGGAUGACGGCCCUAUGGGUUGUAAACUGCUUUUAUAAGGGAAUAAAGUGAGUCUCGUGAGACUUUUUGCAUGUACCUUAUGAAUAAGGACCGGCUAAUUCCGUGCCAGCAGCCGCCGUAA